GUCGUAACGGAGCCUGGGCUGCACUCGGCCCCCGGCGUGACCCGCGUGUGGCGGUGCCCCCCCUGUGCUCCGAGGGUGCCAAAAGUUUUACUGAAAAUCAUCAAGACAAAGCUGCUGCAUAGAGAGCUAACAACUUCAAUUAGCAAAGUAGUCCCCCCAUAAGAAGAAACAGAACAGCAGGACCUGAAAUAGUGUAAGGUAUUUGGUUAAUUAAAAAAGGUUUCAUAAAGCAAGUUUUACCACAUUAAAUCUACUUGGAGGUUAUUUCUUCUUUAGUGAAGAGAAAGAUAUAGUUCAUAAUUAUUCAUUUUUAAUUUUUGAUUAGUGAA
Molecule: long non-coding RNA, 329 nt
Filed under: Manacus vitellinus (golden-collared manakin)
Lineage: Eukaryota; Metazoa; Chordata; Aves; Passeriformes; Pipridae
Description: lncRNA (ENSMVIG00005005041.1)
Source: RNAcentral